UCCGGUUUGGCACCGGCAGUCUCCAAUGAGUCCCCGGCAUUACCCGCUGGCAACAUUGGACAGGGGUUGCGCUCGUUGCGCCACUUAAGGCAACAUCUCACGACACGAGCUGACGACAGCCAUGCAGCAUCUGUGGCGCACCCUCGAAGGUCACACGUUUCCGUGCGCUUGCAGCCCCAUGUCAAGUCCAGGUAAGGUUCUUCGCGUUGCAUCGAAUUAAAGAACAUGCUCCGCUGCUUGUGCGGGCCCCCGUCAAUUCCUUUGAGUUUCAGCCUUGCGGCCGUACUCCCCAGGCGGGGCACUUAAUGCGUUAGCGCCGGCACUCGGAGGGUCGCUCCCCCAAGCACCUAGUGCCCAUCGUUUAC
RNAcentral lists this unclassified non-coding RNA (365 nucleotides) under uncultured bacterium. Its description in RNAcentral is "contains 16S-23S intergenic spacer region". The record is from RNAcentral.